Molecule: ribosomal RNA, 91 nt
Filed under: Guibemantis liber
Lineage: Eukaryota; Metazoa; Chordata; Amphibia; Anura; Mantellidae
Description: partial 16S ribosomal RNA
Source: RNAcentral
GAGCUUUAAACCCAACUACACUCCUUUUUGACUUUACUUUUUAACUCCUAGGAUUUUGUAUGUUCUGGUUUUAGGUNGGGGUGACCGCGGA